CCUACGGGAGGCAGCAGUAGGGAAUCUUUCCGCAUGGACGAAAGUCUGACGGAGCAACGCCGCGUGAGUGAUGAAGGCUUUCGGGUCGUAAAACUCUGUUUGUUAGGGAAGAAACAAGUACGAGAGUAACUGCUGGUACCUUGACGGGUACCUAACCAGAAAGCCGACGGCUAACUACGUGCCAGCAGCCGCGGUAAUACGUAGGUGGGCAAGCGUUAUCCGGAAUUAUUGGGCGUAAAGCGCGCGCAGGCGGUUUUCUUAAGUCUGAUGUGAAAGCCCCAGGCUCACCGUGGAGGGUUCAUUGGAAACUGGGAAACUUGAGUGCAGAAGAGAAAAAGCGGAUUUCCACGUGUAGCGGUGAAAUGCGUAGAGAUGUGGAGGAACACCAGUGGCGAAGCGGGCUUUUUGGUCUGUAACUGACAGGCGAAAGCGUGGGGAGCAAACAGGAAUUAGAUACCUGGUAGUCCACGCCGUAAACGAUGAGUGCUAAGUGUUAGAGGGUUUCCGCCCUUUAGUGCUGCAGCUAACGCAUUAAGCACUCCGCCUGGGGAGUACGGUCGCAAGACUGAAACUCAAAGGAAUUGACGGGGGCCCCGCACAAGCGGUGGAGCAUGUGGUUUAAUUCCGAAGCAACGCGAAGAACCUUAC
This 648-nucleotide ribosomal RNA is filed under the name bacterium JL35-11. RNAcentral describes it as "bacterial SSU rRNA". It matches the Rfam family "Bacterial small subunit ribosomal RNA", at positions 338 to 974 of the family's 1533-position model. The record is from RNAcentral.